CAAUCAUUCAGCGCACCUUUAUGACUGUAGGAUGACAAUCUUCAGAUUAUUUACAAGCCCAGUUAAUAUGCAGAGGACUUUCGGUUCUGUGUCCAUCCUUGCAUGGGCUUGGAAACCCUGCUCUGACUACUCUCUGGUUGACCUAGAUUGGCUGAGAACUCACUAUUGGUCCUGGUUAUGGACCUUUGCUGCCUCUGAACAUGACAGGCAUUAGUCCAUCUAGUAAGCGCUUCAACAUGUUUCUUGCUUUCGAUGCCUCCAGCCACAGAGAGACUCAAGUUGGUGCUCAGCUUGAAUAGCGCCACCUCCUUCUCAGCCUAUCCUCAUCCUUUUCCUUAGGAAAUGCUGACUAGUGAAUUUGGCGUCCAUGGCUUGAACAGAAAAAAAAGCCAUAGUUGUCACUGUUGAUUAGGGGGAGAAAACACAGCCACAGAUUGAGAACUUGUGACCAUCCAGAUAUUGAUGAAUUGCGGCUCCCACCCUUGACACUCUCCCUUGACUCUGCUGGGUAAGGCUAAUCAAAACUGCAAUUUGGUGACAUCUAGAGUGCCACAUGCUUCACCUUGGACCACUUAAUUAAAACCAGAAUACUUGUUUCUCCGUUCUUAUGACCCUUCCUAAGUCUUGAUGAAACCUUCACUGCCAAGGGGGCUUAGACAUCCUAACCCAGCCAUAUCAGCCAUC
Molecule: non-coding RNA, 684 nt
Organism: Pogona vitticeps (central bearded dragon)
Lineage: Eukaryota; Metazoa; Chordata; Lepidosauria; Squamata; Agamidae
Source: RefSeq, a predicted model, not a curated record